Triticum urartu is the source of this 3844-nucleotide long non-coding RNA. RefSeq lists it as uncharacterized. The record is from RefSeq and is a predicted model, not a curated record. NCBI's taxonomy places the organism in Eukaryota, Viridiplantae, Streptophyta, Magnoliopsida, Poales, Poaceae.
ACAAACAGCCAACGAGGCUCCCUCAAUCUCGAUCUAUUUCAUCUCAGCCUCCAGCCCCGAGAGGAGCCGCCGCCGCCGCCGAGAGGAGACGCCCCAGCCCCAAGAGGAGCCACCGCCGCCGCCGAGAGAAGACGCCCCAGCCCCGAGAGGAGCCGCCGGGGAACGAGGUCGCCGCCGCCUCCAGGUGGCCGCCGUCACGCACCGCCUCCUCCAGGUCGCCGCCGUCACACACUGCCUCAGGUCCGUUGAUCUCUCUCCUCCUCGCCACUCCUCACUACCAGCCCCGCACAGCUCUGCCUCCACGGCGGGGAUUCACUCUAUGGCGUUCAAGAGAGGUGGCUGCAGCCGCCAUGCUGCCGAUCCGGUCCUUGCUGCUGGAUCCGGCUCUCUCCACCCCUCCUCCCGGUCCGAUCCAAUGGCGACAGAUGCGGUUGGUGCGCGCGGGUCAGAGGAUGGACGAGCUCUUGUCCUUCAUAAUCCACUCCUAGACUGUUUCGUGGUGGCAGCGCUCCGUCCGACGUUUGCCCUCCAUCAUCCACUCCUUCCUCAAUGAUUUUGUGAUAGGGACCAUGGCGAUCGGACUUGCGGGCGACGCGACUACAGGACGUAAUUGAGCAUAUGCUAUAUUGGAAUCGAAGAGGACCUAACGGGGAAUAUGUAGAGGCGCUCAUCGGGCUAGGGGAGGCUCUACAGCGGCUGAAUCAGUCAGAGGCGAUCGUCGGGCAGAGGGGCGAAGUUGUGGUCGAUGGCAUCAUCUCGGCGCUCUUCUGCUCAAAUGCUUCUGCGGAGAGACACUGCGAGGCCUGGUGAUGCUUGUGGACACGAAGGCGCGGCAAUUCUUCGGCGGUGCUCACACGGACGAUCAACGGCGGCUACGGCUGUGCACUCGGGCAAGCUUGAGAUCGAGCGCUAGAGGAGAGGGAGAGAGCUCCAGAGCAACGGGAAAGUGAGAGGGGGUGCAGGGCAUCUCCCAGACGAGCGGAUGGGGACGAGGACGUGGGGGACAGCGCUAAGCAGGAGGUGGCAGCAGGGUGAGCCCGCGCGACACGCCUCUGCCUACAGGCAGACGUUCAAGAAGACCUGGCUGUGGGCUGGCUUGGCUUCAGGUGAUUGCUCACAACAUUGGCCUAGGGUGACAAGACGUUAGGUUAUUGCUCCCUACAUUACAGUCUUUGGCCAAAGGGAAUCCACGACUUGCUCUAAGGUUUGUGAUGGUAAGGGAAAUGUUUGCUCUUCGAAGUUCAAAAUGAGUAGCGUCCUAUCAUAAAUGAGCUUUAGCUCACACUUAAGAAGUCGUCCAGUUAUUACUUUAUGUCUUGAUCAUAACAAUUAUUUCUACCGAAAGCAUAUGGUCUCAAAUUGAUAUUGCAAAUGGUACUACAAAAUCAUAUCCAUUUUCCCCAAGAUCACAUGUUGUAUCCUGUUUAGCAUGUAACAAGGCAAUGCUGAUUUCUAAUUUCAGUUAUCUAUGCUUGUAGCCAUUAGUUGUAUCAAAGCGGCAUUUGCAACUCUCCUUGAUGGAAAUAAUUAGUGCCGCCCGCUGGAGCAUAUGGAAUUGCCGUCCUUCUUGCAAGUGUUCUGUUUCAAUAUGUAAAUGAAUGGAGAAGUACCAAUUAAUGGCUACUGAAUAAACUACAUCAGUUGGAAAGACACUAACUAGAAAGAAAACAUGCAUAGGAAGAGGUUAAAGGAAGAGGACAAAGGAAGAAGUUAUUUUAUUUUCUUCUAACUAUGGAAUGGUGUACGGAAAAAGUCAUCUUUCCAGUAUUUAUAUUUUGGAAUGUCCUCUUAUUUGUUGUUGUACUGUCCGUCCUAUCAAGUAGCUGCUCGUGAUCGACGUGCUUACUAUUACUAUUGUUGUCGUCAUGUCUAUCGCAGAUCACGGGUUGCAAGUUUGAGUACCUUCUCAAAUUAUGCAACUGAAUCUAUCUACUCUAAGUCUGCAACCUAGAACUAACAUCUUAAUCUGGCCUACUACCUGUACAAUGACCAGGAAUUUAAUGGUGCACAACCUAUCCAUAUUGUUUUAUUUCUUGGUGAUAUUGAGAAAAAUGGAAAGGAAUAGGCGGUAUUUUCAAGUGAAACAACUAUGCGAGUGAGUGCUCAAAAAAGGAUAGACGCAGGGCAUGGUGAACUGCUUGCUUGAGUAUACAGGAACUAGAACAAGCACCUGAAGCGGGCAGCCGGGCUAGACUAGAGGUUCCUUGACACACUGCAGCGCGUGUUCUACAGCAACAAUGCCGGGCACGAAGCACUGGUGAAGAUGUGCGCAGACGAGCACAUGCAGCAGUGGAAGGUGCUUCACGGCGGUCGCCGUGUCGUCGGGUACAUCGGUAUACAGCUUCUCCUUCUGCAGAGUUCUCCUCUCCUUGUUGACAUGUGCUCUGCUUGACUAGCGUAGAUGCACUAAGCAGCUUUUUUUUCAUUUGGGGUGAUUCCCAGGGCUCCCAAGCUACUGAGGUAGUACACAAUUUUGAUGCUUUAGAUUUCUAUCUAUGUAGCCUACAUCUUAGCAUUAUGUAUGUGUAGUCUCCGAGAGUAAGGAAUAUAUUGUCCGGUUCAGUCACGUGGUGUGUAUUGGUGUUUAGAAUUCAGGCAUGUACUCAUUGAUGCUGAAAUUGAAAUCUGAAAGGCUGGUGGAGGAUGGUGUGGAGAGUGUCGCCGAACGUGGGUCUGUCCGGCUGUCACUACUGCUGGAGUUGCAGCGCCGGUACACAGAGAUCAACAGGAAGGUGGCCAUCGCCAGGACCCUCUUGAGCCUCAUGCAGGAGGACAUGUACGUACUAACAUAAACAAGAUGACAGAUAAGUUCUCUGCUCUUCAGCUCAAAGUGAUGGAGGUGAAUGCGUUGUUCACCAUGAAGCAGAAUCACUCCUCCAAAGACCUGUUAGGACAGCAAGGACAAGUGCACGAUGGUGCGCCGAAGCAUCACGGUGAACAUGGUAAUGUCAGGUUGUUGAUGGAGCGAUACAAAUUGGUUUGAAGGCCGGGUACUACGCCGCCGCCAAUAUUGCGCGCAAACAUUAUUGAGUACCGAUGGUGAGAUUUUCCAUUUCUUUAUCUUUUGUCCUUUUAAUCAAGAACAAUAUUGAGAUCGUACAUGGUUGUCCAAAUUUAGUUCUGUAAAGAGAAAUAUUGAUGUCAUGCAAUGAUCAGUGUGGUGUACGAUAGUUACAGACUUCUUCCUCUGUUCUCAUUGAGCAAAGAUUGGACGCGUGUGAUUUGUUCUACUACCAAGUCAAUCUUGGUCCAUAUUGUCAGAGUUUGCUUAUUGAGUUUUUUUGCUGCUAUUAGUAUUUUCAUUUAUGCAGAGGCUGGGUGUAAUGCUUAAACCUUUUAAGUAAUAAAGCGUCCUUCAUCGAAAAAACAGUAUUUUCAUUUAAACUGGAAGUUUAUGUGAAGAAGGGGCUGGAUUGAAAUGCAUGAAUUUAUGUUCCUAUUUUCUUUGGAAGAAUGAGAUGACCAGGAAGGUUGUAGCUACUCAUCGCCUCAUCGUUAAAAAAAGGUUGUACCUGCUCACAUAAUAUUCACACAUCAUCGGUGGCAUGGCAGUGGCCGGCGGAAGGAUGCUUCUGUUUGACACAGAAAUCUUAUUUUUCUAGCAACUACAAGAAAUCAGUGAAGCAGUAGGAAGUAGGAACUUGGUCCAGAAGAUUAUCUGAUGACCUAAUAUGCUAUCUGGUGCCUUUUAGUACGUAAUAAAUGUAACUUCUUCCGCAACAAGAAUAAGAAUGGGAGGCAUGUUACAGGUAGUUUUAUCCUGAGAAUUGGUCACCAUUCUGUAACCUUAAUACAAACAUAUAACUUGUGACAUAUCCAUGCAUAUAUGUGCUUUGCAAAUCGA